UAGGGAAUCUUCCACAAUGGACGCAAGUCUGAUGGAGCAACGCCGCGUGAGUGAAGAAGGUUUUCGGAUCGUAAAGCUCUGUUGUUGGUGAAGAAGGAUAGAGGCAGUAACUGGUCUUUAUUUGACGGUAAUCAACCAGAAAGUCACGGCUAACUACGUGCCAGCAGCCGCGGUAAUACGUAGGUGGCAAGCGUUGUCCGGAUUUAUUGGGCGUAAAGCGAGCGCAGGCGGAAUGAUAAGUCUGAUGUGAAAGCCCACGGCUCAACCGUGGAACUGCAUCGGAAACUAUCAUUCUUGAGUGCAGAAGAGGAGAGUGGAAUUCCAUGUGUAGCGGUGGAAUGCGUAGAUAUAUGGAAGAGCACCAGUGGCGAAGGCGGCUCUCUGGUCUGCAACUGACGCUGAGGCUCGAAAGCAUGGGUAGCGAACAGG
Molecule: ribosomal RNA, 429 nt
Filed under: bacterium
Lineage: Bacteria
Description: partial 16S ribosomal RNA
Rfam family: Bacterial small subunit ribosomal RNA
Source: RNAcentral